UGUGUGGGAAGCUUGAUUCUAUUUAUCUGGGAAAAGAUUGACAAGGCAAAGGCAGAUGCUUUUGGGCCAGCAGUGGCUUCUGGUUUGAUUUGCGGGGAUGGGAUAUGGACUUUGCCUAGUGCGAUACUUGCUCUAGUAGGAGUAAAACCUCCCAUUUGCAUGAAGUUUCUGUCAAGGAGAACAAAUGCUAAGGUCGAUGCGUUCUUAGAGUCAUAAAGUCGAAGUUGAGAUCAACUUGAAUAGAAACUGUGAAGUAAAGCUGAAUUGCUUCCCAGACUAAGGUUAUGAAGUUUACAUGUGAAGUUCGACUCAAAAAUGCUGUAGAUAAUCAAUCACCUGCUAUUUCGUGGAGCCAACCACUAUUUUCGCUAUAAUCUUUUCUGGAGAAGAAAAUCAAAUGUCCAUUUACUUAUAUAUGUUUGUAGUUUUUUUCUAGUCUAGUUUGAAGAAGGUUGUAGAACAGAUACAUCAAGCAAUGUGAAAGGUGAAAAUUACAAUACCCUUUGUGAGCUGUUAUGAUCAGUUGCUAUAUUUGGUAUCAGGUUUGCUCAUUUUGCUAGCUAUGAUCAUAUCAGGUGGUCCGAUUAAUGUGGCAUUGGAAUGGCCUUCUAGUUAUUAGCAGUCUCACAAUAAAACCAUGCCAGACUUGGUUAUCCAACCCGAGAAAAAAAAAAAUUGGAAAAAAUAUCAGAUUCGUCGAGGAAGACGAUAAAAGCUUCAGCGAAUAAGAUACUUGUAACAAAUAUUUUACCUAGGUUUUUCCUAAGAAUAUGAAAAGAAGCUGAAAAAUAGACAAGCUUUUCCGUAGUCUCAGGGAGUGUUUGGGGCUGCGUUUGUAGUUGUAUUUUGGUAAAUUUAAUUAUUAUUUUUUUGUUAAAAUUGAGUGUGGUUUGUAUUUUUUUGGAUCGUUUUGAUGUGCUGAUAUCAAAAAUAAUUUUUAAAAAAUAAAAAAACAUCAUUGACAUGCUUUUCGACACGAAAAUCUAUUUGAAAAACAACUACUAUCACAUUGUCAAACAUACUCUGAGGGAGUGAAGUACAUAAAGAGGUUAUCAUACGUUCUUCCCCAUGCAAAUAUAUAUUCAUAGUUAAUUAUCAUAGAAUCCUCAACUCUCCAUCUUCAAUCUCAAUCUUUGUAAGGCAAGAUCCUGCAUUGUUUUUUUGAGUUAAGUUUAAAUUAAAUAACGUUAAAUUAUUUAUUUUAAACUUGUAUUUUUUAUUCGCUUAUUUUAUUUUUAUUUAACAAAUUUCUCUGCAAGAUUGCUUGAUUUGUGUUAUGAUGUUAGUAUUUAGUAAACAAGUAAUUAGAAAAAUAAUCUCUGAUUAAUUAUGUUGAGAAGUAAAAACCCAACGUAUAUAUAAUUAAUUGGACAUUGUUUAAAUCUUCCACGCACGUUACAUCCAAGUCAAUUUCUUUAUUUCUUAUACCAUUUUUUCCCACAAACUUUGGACACUGGACAUACACAGAUUUUUUAUUUUCCUUUUUUUUUUUUUUUGGAAAUGAGCCAAUUGACUAUUGACUUCUCGUCUUCUACAAAUUAGAAAUAGAAGCUUUUGGCAUGGGAUUAGUGACCAUUUGGUAACUUGAUUAAAACAUUCCUUUUAAAAAAAAAAAAAAUUAAGGAAUAGCUAAAUAGUGACAAGUUUUGGGUUUACUCUCCAAUCAAAGUGAAUGAAAGCUUAUUUAUUUGUUAAUUUCUAGAUUUAUAAAAUUAAUUAAUGUAUGCGUAAGAUGACUCGGACACCCGCAUUAAUAAAAAUAAUUCUUUUAAAAUUUUAAUUUUUAAAUUAUUUUAAAAACAAUUUAUAUCACAUUUCUAAUCUAGCUCUUCAAAGUACCUACAUACCCCUACACACACAUACACACAUAAUAUAUAUAUAUAGGCUCAGCUCAAACACAUGUGAUUUAGGAUCACUUUGUUGUUUUAAACUUUUAAAAAAUAUAAUAUUAAUUAUUUUUUAAAAUAUUUUUUAUUUAAAAAAAUUAUUUAAAUUAUAUUUUAAAAUCAUUUUAAAAACAAUUUCUACUAUAUUUUUAGUAUAGCUCUUCCAAGUAUCACAUAUAUAUAUACAUAUUACAAACUCAAUUCAAUCAAAUAUUAUUUAGGAUAAUUUGUUAUUUUAGAGAGUGUUUAAAAAUAUAGUACUUAUUAUUUUUCAAAGUAUUUUUUUUAAGAAAAUAUCAAAAUAAUAUUAGCAUAUUAAAAUAAUUAAAAAACAUUAAAUAAAAUUAAUUUAAGACUUAAAAAAACAGACAUGCAACGACCCGUUUUAACUCCUCAUGUUCAUCGUCUUCAAUUCGCCUGUAAUGUGUUGAGCAAUAGUCACAACUCACAACCACUUAUUAAACAAGGUAAUGAAGAAUCAUUAUGAUUGUGAAAGAGACGACACCAAGGUAUAAGUGGUGUGUAAGGAUGCCUUGGGUAAGAAACGUGCUAUGUUCAUUCCCAAUCCAAUGGCAACGGCUAUACCUUUCUAUAUUGGCUCAUACUUUGCCAUCGACAUGUGCGUGGGAAGCUUGAUUCUAUUUAUCUGGGAAAAGAUUGACAAGGCAAAGGCAGAUGCUUUUGGGCCAGCAGUGGCUUCUGGUUUGAUUUGCGGGGACGGGAUAUGGACUUUGCCUAGUUCGAUACUUGCUCUAGCAGGAGUAAGACCUCCCAUUUGCUUGAAAUUUUUGUCAAGGAGAACAAAUGCUAAGGUCGAUGCAUUCUUAGGGUCAUAAAUUUGAAGUUCAGAUCAACUUCAAUAGAAACUGUGAGUUAGAGCUGAAUUGCUUCCCAGACUAAGGUUAUGAAGUUUACAUAUGAAGUUCGACUAAAAAAUGCUGUAGAUAAUCACCUGCUAUUUCGUGGUGCCCAGUGGCGGAGCCACGUGGGGACAAAAGGGGGCAAUUGCCCCCUCAACUUUUUUUUUUUUUUAAUUUAUAUGUAGUUGAAAGUGUUAGCUGAUCAGCACCAGCUUACCAAAAUGAAAAUGAAAACUGAAACAGGAGAUACCAAAAUUUAUAUUUAGGGAAUUUACUGCAGGGAAGGAAAAAGGAAACAUGCAUUGUUUAUAAUUGUAGGCUUAUAAUAUAAUAUAGUAUAUAUAAACAGCUUAUUGCACAAUUUUUUUUUCUCCUUUUGUUUCCAUAUUAAAUUGAUGGUACCAGCUUUAAAAUAUGGAAUUCCUAGCUAUCAAAGAGUAUUUUUUGUUCCCUGCUUUUGCCGCGUUGUUCUUUUCUUGAGUUGCUCUGCCGCUUUGUUCUUUUCAUGAGCUGUUGUUCUUUGUCUCUCUCACAUGCAAAUUUCUCAUCAAGUAUAGGUAAUCAAUUAAUCUUUUUUGCCUUUUGCUUUAUAUUUUAGGUAAAUUUUCUUUAUUUAUUUCAUUGUUUAAUUUUAUUUUUAUUUUUUUAUAAUUAGUUAUUAAAAAUAGUAGGGUUUAUGAUAAUUUAUGGGUUUUGAUAUAAAUAUGUUCAAAAUAAAUGUUUAAAUCUACUAAUUUAAUCAAUUAAAUAUUUCUUUUCUUAUUAUAAAAGAAUAAAUUAAUAUUCAUGCAAAACCACUAUUUUUGACAUCUCUUGCAUUGGCAGAGUAUUUUAUUGAAAUUUAAUAUUUUCAUAUGACUUGUUUGUAAGUAAAAUAUCAAGUAGAAAGCAUGUUUUUCAAGAAUUGUUUCUCUUACACAUACACUAGGCAUUGCUCCUCAAUUAAAUAUCUAGAAAUAAUUAAGUAUAAUUUAAUCAACAAACUUAUUAUAUGUAUAUAGAUAUGAAUUGAAAUAGGUUUUGAUUUUGAUGAAUUGAUGUGUAUUUUUCUAUGAAUUUCAUAUGAAAGAUUUAGAAUUAUUGUGUAACUCAACUGAUUUUUAUUUAACAGUGAAUUAUUAUAUAGUUGUGUUAAUUAUUAUGUAGACACUAAUGAUGAUAAAAAAAUUCCAGCAGGUUCAUAUUAAAUUAACAUGUCACUAGACAAGUAUUUCAAGCAUAAAUCCCUUGAGGAUGAAGAAUUAGUAUAUAUGCUUUGAAUUGAUUUCUAAUAGAUAUCUAUAUAAUUUAGUAUUUAUUAAUAAUUUGCCCUCUCAUUGAAAAAACUCUGGCUCCGCCACUGGUGGUGCCAACAACUAUUUUCUUUGAAAUCUUUUCUGGAGAAGAAAAUCAAAUGUCCAUUUACUUAUACAUGCUUGUUAGUCAAUCCUUGAAAAUAUGCUUGUAGUUUUUUUCUUGUCUAGUUUGAAGAAGAUAAUGGAACAGAUGAAUCAAACAAUGUGCAAACGGAAAAUCACUGUACCCUCUGUGAACUUUAAACAUAAUAUCAAAAGUGAAUGUGCAAAUAUUACAGGUUGCAGGCAUGUUUAUUUUGAACAUAUUGCAAUUAUCGUUGUUGAUUUCUUCUUCCUUAUUCGUAUCCGACCUUCCAGAAUCACACCCAAGACCGCUGUUGUUAUCCUGGGUUGCUGCUUUACUGCCUUCAAUUCCUCAGCUGUUGUUUUGCUGUUUGAUGUUAUCACAGCUUUUGCACCAGUAUGUAUUAUCUUUGGAUUUUACUCAAUCUGGUAAGGUUAUGAUCAGUUGCUAUAUUUGGUAUCAGGUUUGGUCAUUUGUAUAUAAAUUAUAUUUGCUAUGCAUAUAAAGAUUCAAUUCCUAAUAUUUGUAUCAAGAUAUUAAUAACCAACAAGUAUGUCGACUUAUAAAUACACAAUUAGCUAGCUUCUUUUUCUUCUUUGAGAUAAGUGAAGAAACUUCAUUAAUAGCAUAACAUCGGCAAAUCAAAGUAAGUUAUUUACACGUUUUUUUUUUUUCUAGUUUGUUUUUGGUUUUUAAUUUUUUUAAUGAAAUCUUUAAUUUUCCUUCGAACUUCAAUAUCUAAUGUAAUUAAGCUCUUGAUAUGACCAAAUUAACUCUUAUAAAUUGCAAUUCAAUUCCUAAACUUUAAUUUUUUUCAAUUAAAAUCUAAAUUUCCUUAAAAAAUUAUUUUUUUCUUGUAAUUAAAACCUCUAUAAAUUCAAUUAAACCUUCAACUAAAUCUAAUUGAGUCCUUAAACAUCCAAUUUUAAAUUUCUCUUUCUCAAAUUGAAUUUUCUUUGCCGAUAAGGUCUUCAUCAAUUAAAAAUAUAUGGUAAAUUUCAAUCUUUGUAUUUUUUUUUUUAUCUUUCUCAACUUAGUUUUGGCUAUUUUUGGGGCGUUUUGAUAUACUUUUCCCACUUAUAUAUUUUUUUUCGUUUUCUUACAAUAAUUUUUAAAUUUUUUUGUAUUUUUUCUCUUUUUUUUCUUUUUGUGUGGGGACCCAAUAAAAUAGGUAAAAACAAAGAUAUUAAUAAACCAACAAUGCAUUAAAGUAUGUCGACUUCUCAAAAAAAUAAAAGUAAAAAACCCUUAUAAAUACACAAUUAGCUAGUUUUUUUUCUUUUAGAUAAAUGAAGAAACUUUAUUAAUAGCAUAACAUUGGCAAAUCAAAGCUAGCAAGGUGAAGAAUUAAUGGGUACAAAUGCCAAAAAGCAUGGGAAAAGAAAACAUGGCAAUAGUAAGUAACCUAAACCAACGAAGGACACGUAAAUAAUUACCAUGGAUAAAUUAAGUAGCUAUGCCUUCAAACUAAUAGAAGGAUAAACGAUUACUCACUGACGUAGCGGAAGCUUCUGUGGAAAUAGGUUGCUACCUGUUUCCGGGAACAAAGUGUUCGAAUCCACGAACCAAGAAAGUUUCACUCGAAUCUACGAGUUUAGCACUUAUAAUUCUCAAAGAGAAAGUUUUGUAUUAAAUUCAAAAGUGCCUUACAAUAAAAAGUGGCAGCCUUUAUAUAGGCUGCAAGUUUUAAUUCGACUAGGACUAUAAUUGUUUAGGAAAGAAAUAACUGGAAUAAAGAAAACAAAUACUAUAGCUAGGAAAGUAAAUAAUUCCUGAUGUUACGACAUUAAUGAGGACUCCUAACUAAGGUGGUAAUCUGCUAGAAGAAUACUCCAAUGAUAACUGCAAUUCCUGAUUUCUCUGCAUUUAUAUUAUGCCCUGCAAUCUGCUGUCUCCUGCGAUAUGCUCUUCCUCUCCUUUUAUAGACUGUUCUACAUCAGUCUCCCUUGCAUAAAAAGAACUCGACCCCGAGUGAGGUAAAUGAGAAGGUGCCAUAUCCGGAGGAUGAUACUCGUACAAAUCUGCCACGUUGAAAGUAGGGGAAAUGGCCAUUUCUGCUGGAAGGUUGACAACAUAGGCGUUGUCAUUAAUCUUCUGAAGGAUCUGGAAAGGUCCAUACUUCUUGUCCUGCAGCUUGUUGUAUCUUCCUACAGGUAGGCGUCCUUUGCGCAAAUAGACCAUCACAAGGUCUCCUUCUUGAAAGGUUUGGACCCUCCGUUUUUUAUCUGCUGCAGCUUUGUACUUGGCAUUAGAAGCCUCUAAGUUUUGUCGCACUUCUUCUUGAAUGGACUUUAUACGGUCUGCCAUAUGUUCUGCUGCAAUGCUUAAACCUGGAAGUUUUGGUAGAGGAACUAAGUCCAACGCAUGGCGUGGUGGAGAACAAUAAACAAUCUGAAAGGGUGUUUUUCCAGUGGACCGGUUGAGCAUACUGUUAUAAGCAAACUCAGCUUGUGCCAACAUAACAUCCCAUUGUUUUGGUUUUGUUCCAGAGAGGCAGCGAAUCAGAUUCCCAAGAGUGCGGUUUACUACCUCUGUCUGGCCAUCAGACUGAGGAUGGCUGGUACUGCUAAAAUUUAGAGACGUGUCAAACCGUCGCCAUAACGUUCGCCAAAAAUGACUCAAGAACUUUGUGUCUCUGUCUGAAGUGAUGGACUUGGGAACCCCAUGCAGACGCACCACCUCCUUGAAAAAUAAAUUUGCUACGUGCACGGCAUCGGCAGUCUUCUUACAAGCAAUAAAAUGAGCCAUCUUGGAAUACCUGUCGACCACCACAAACACUGAAUCAUAUCCGCGUUGGGUUCGCGGUAGGCCUAAGAUAAAAUCCAUCGAAAGAUCCUCCCAAGGUGCUGCUGGGAUAGGCAAUGGCAUAUACAAACCGGUAUUUUGGGACUGUCCCUUAGCAGCCUGACAUAUGGGACACCGUUUAACAUAGUUGCCGAUGUCUCUUUUUAAUUGGGGCCAAUAAUAUCUCUCUUCAGCAAGGGCUAUGGUUUUGUCACGCCCCAAGUGUCCCCCCAAACCUCCACUGUGCAAGUCAUGAAUUAUUUGAGCUCGUAGUGAGCUCCUGGGUAUGCAUAAUCGUUACCAUGGAAUAAGUAGUCUUCCUGGAUAUGCAGGUUCUCUACAGGAAGCCCGGCUUGGCACUUUGCCCAACUAGCUUGAAAAUCUUCAUCUCCAGCGUACAGUUCUUUGAGGCAAUCAAACCCAAUGACUUCAUUUUGGAGAGUGACCAGUAGCAAUGUCCUUCGGCUGAGAGCAUCAGCUGCUCGGUUUAGUCGUCCAGCCUUAUGUUGCAGUGUGAAUGUGAAGCGUUGAAUGAAGGAAAUCCAACGGGCAUGCAUUCUGUUAACACUAUUCUGACUGUGAAGAAACCUUAGUGCCUGAUGGUCGCUGAAUAAAACAAAGUCGCGGGCUACUAGGUAGUGCUCCCAAACUUUUAAGGCUCGAAAGACAGCAUAUAAUUCCAGCUCAUAGGUGGACCACUUCUAGCGAGCUUCACUGAGUUUUUCACUGUAGAAAGCGACAGGUUGCCUUCUUGAGACAACACACCAAUACCCACGAUGGAGGCAUCACACUCUACUUGAAAUAAUUUAUCAAAAUUUGGGAGUGCCAGUGCUGGGGCCGAUGAAAGUUUUUCUUUGAUAAGUUUGAAGCUCUGCUCUGCUGCGUCUCCCAAUAGAAUUUCCCUUCUUCAUGCACUCAGUAAUGGGUGCGACUAUUCGGCUAAAAUCUCUAACAAAUCGUCUGUAAAACGUUGCUAGUCCAUGAAAACUACGGACCUCGCCUACUGUUCGCGGAGUCGGCCAAUCACGAAUGGCGCCAAUCUUUUCUUCAUCCACUUUAAUUCCGUCAGCACUUAUUAUAAACCUCAAGAAUAGCAAGCUACUGGUCAUAAAACUGCACUUUUUCAAAUUAACGUACAACUUAUUUUGUUGCAGAAUUUUGAGUACUUCUCUCAAAUGCUCAACAUGGUCAGCUUGGGUUUGGCUGUAGAUUAAUAUAUCAUCGAAGUAUACCACCACAAAUUUUCCCGUGAUCGGCUUCAAUACCUGGUUCAUAAACCGCAUGAAAGUACUGGGUGCAUUGGUUAACCCGAAUGGCAUUACUAGCCACUCAUAUAAGCCCUCCUUUGUUUUAAAAGCAGUCUUCCACUCGUCUCCUGGUCUGAUCCGAAUCUGAUGGUACCCGCUUCGCAAAUCGAGUUUUGAAAAGACCUUGGACCCGGACAACAUGUCCAACAUAUCUUCUAAACGAGGGAUAGGGAAUCUGUAUUUAAUUGUGAUCUUGUUGAUUGCUCUGCUGUCGAUACACAUGCGCCAACUACCAUCCUUCUUUGGCACUAACAAAGCUGGUACUGCACAAGGGCUCAUGCUCUCCUGCACUAAGCCCUUCUCGAUAGUUCUUCUACCUGUGCUUGCAGAGUCUGACUUUCUUUAGGAUUCAUCCGGUAGUGGGGACGAUUUGGCAAACUCGCUCCUGGCGUGAAAUCGAUCUGAUGUUGUAUGUCUCGUACAGGAGGUAAUCCAUUAGGUAGGUCUAACGGCAUCACCUCCUGAAAUUCCUCCAGCAAUGGUAGUAGUGUGGGUGGAAUGUCAACAGAAUCCCUGCCAACUUCUCCUCUUAAUACUACAAAAAAAUCUCUCUGGCCGCCUUAGUCUCCUCCAUGAAUUUGCCCCCAUCCACUAGCAAUACUGGCUUUCCUUGUGGCUUCGGUUUGAUGCUGGAAAAAUCUUCUUUGAUAGGACCAGAACGACCUUCAGGCCCCCCUUUACGAAGACGUAAACAUUGUCACGACCCCUGUAAGUGGCAUCUACAUCAUACUGCCAGGGACGUCCAAGUAUUACAUGGCAAGCAUCCAUUUCCACUACGUCACAUGUAACCUCAUCUGCAUAAUUCUUCCCAAUUGAGAAUUUAAUGUGGCAGACUUCAGUCACUUUGACUUCAGCGCCACGUUUGAUCCAGCCUAUUUUAUACGGUGCAGGAUGCUUCCUAGUUUGCAAUCCCAGUUUAGUAACCAUUGCUUUUGACACUAUAUUCUCGCUACUGCCACUGUCAAUGAUAAUAUCACAGACCCUUUUGUUCACAGUGCACCUAGUUCUGAAUAUAUUAUGCCGCUGGGAGGGUUCUUCUCGUUUUGGUGUCAACAGUAGUCGUUGAACUACAAGAGACCGUGACAAUAGCUCUCCCUCGUCACCCCCUGUUACUUCUUCCUCCUCAUACGUAUAGGCUGCUCCGUUUUCAUCUUUCUCAGUGUCGAAGGGGUACUCUUCUUCUGGCUCUAUUAGGUGCACAUUACUCCUUCUUGGGCACUGGUUGGAACGGUGUCCUGGCUGUCCACAUCUAUAACAUUUAUCCGAACUGGGACGGGCAUAAGGAUUCCUGGGCGUUACCUCGGGUGGAAUGGUGUUAGCAGACUUUGUUGGUGCUCCACUGCUGCUUGUUCCUCGUACAAUGUUAGAGAAGGAGUGUUGAGUUGUUGAAGUCAGUGGGGUCAUUGGAGUCUUCCCUUUAUUGCUGGUUGCUCUAUUAUGAUCGAAUGGAUUCCUGGCCCCACCCAUUGCUUUUGAUUUGUCUAAUUGGGUCUCUGCUUUGAUAGCCAGUGCCACGGCUUCUGUUAGGGUGUAAAUUGUUUGCAUUGCCACACGAUCCUGUAUGGCCCAACGCAGACCUCCCACAAACCUGGCAACUUGUUGUGCCUCUGUUUCCAGCAGGUUAUUUCGUGAUGAUAGCCUAUGAAAUUCUUCUAGGAAAGCUUCCACGGUUCUAGUUCCUUGCCUACAUUCCUGAUAUUGUUUAAACAAAAUUUGCUCGUAGUCUGGUGGUAGAUAACGAGAACGUAACAAUCGUUUCAUUUUAUUCCAUGUUUGAACCAUCCCCUUCCCUUGUCGCAGUCGGGUGCUUUGUAGUUGCUCCCACCAGGCAGAAGCUCCCCCCAAGAGUCUAUAUGCGACUAACUUCACCUUUUUAUCUUCAGGAAUGUCCAUGUAAUCGAAGAACCUCUCAACUAGUACCAGCCAAUCAAGGAACCCUUCAAUCUGCAGUUGUCCGUUAAAACUGGGUAGAUCCAUCUUCAUUCGAAACAUCUGUCGGUCUAGUUCCCUUUGAUACCCUCUCCGGUUUCCCCGGAGUAUAGCUUCAGCUUCUUCCUCAUCCUCACUUAGGUUGUCCUCAUAGAUUGGUUGCCUUCGUAGGAUUCCUGGAGGGCGUUCACUAGUUGCAGCCCUUUCUCGGUGAUGUUGACGAACUGGAGAGUUGUUGAUCCCCUGAUUAUUCCCUGUUGUCAGCCUAGCAAGGGCUGUUUGGAUAUCACGUAGGGUUUGUUGUGUCUCAUGCUGGAAAAUUCUGAAUUCAGCUCCUGUAACCAAAUUAUCCUCGCGGUCACCGCCGCCAAGGUUUUCGCUUUCGUUGCGUAGGUUUGCCAUCUGACAGGAUUAUGCCUGCUCUGAUACCAACUGACGUAGCGGAAGCUUCUGUGGAAAUAGGUUGCUACCUGUUUCCGGGAACAAAGUGUUCGAAUCCACGAACCAAGAAAGUUUCACUCGAAUCCACGAGUUUAGCACUUAUAAUUCUCAAAGAGAAAGUUUUGUAUUAAAUUCAAAAAUGCCUUACAAUAAAACGUGGCAGCCUUUAUAUAGGCUGCAAGUUUUAAUUCGACUAGGACUAUAAUUGUUUAGGAAAGAAAUAACUGGAAUAAAGAAAACAAAUACUACAGCUAGGAAAGUAAAUAAUUCCUGAUGUUACGACAUUAAUGAGGACUCCUAACUAAGGUGGUAAUCUGCUAGAAGAAUACUCCAAUGAUAACUGCAAUUCCUGAUUUCUCUGCAUUUAUAUUAUGCCCUGCAAUCUGCUGUCUCCUGCGAUAUGCUCUUCCUCUCCUUUUAUAGACUGUUCUACAUCACUCACUCAUCAUACGAUUAGGUCAAGUCACCUCUCCUAACUCCUCCCCCCAUCAAACUUCGUUGCUGCAGGUUCACCGAUUUUGCAAGUACCAUCUUUGGGGUCAUAUUUGCAUGGAGCCCUAGGAGCAGUUAGGUAAGAACAUGAUAACAAAAUAAUGGUAACAAGGAGUAUUAUUGUCAAGUAUCGAGUCUUUCCUUGAGACCCCAUUUUUUACACGAAAGAAACCUGAGAUUUUUAGGGAAUCAAAUGUAUGUGUAGAGAGCGAGCUAGUCUGCGAGAUGGGUGAUUGUAGAGAUGGAGAGGGUUAGCUAGCUAAUAUAUGAGACACGAUAUGUUGAAUUGGAAAAGUAUUCAGCAUUUAAAUUGAUUUCAAAAACUAUUCCAAUAUGUUGAAUUGGAAAACUAUACUUUCCUCGAAAUUGUUUCUUAUUAUUUUCUUCGAAGCAGUUGUGACUUGUGACAUAGGUUGAAAUUAACAUUAAACGGGAGUAAUGUGGAUCAUGUCCAGGUUGUUUUAGUAGUCAAAUAAAUAAAAUUUCUAUGAUAUUUGUGUUUUUAAUCUUCUGGCGUGGCCCUUUAGAAACAAACAGUCAAAACCUGUUUAAGUGCCUGUUUUGUUCAAGCAACUUGUACUGUAAAUAAAUGUUAUGCAAAAACUAAGCACUCUCAACUUUUACUUGAUCUUUUUUUUUUUUCUGCGGUAUGAUGGGAUUGAAGAUUACACAAUAUUGCCCUACUCUAAUAUAUAUAUUUAUCUAGUAAUGCAAAAAUAAACAUUGAAAUAAGCUCUUCAGUUGAUUUUAUAAACUGCAAAUUUGAGGUCUUGGGCUCUUCGCAGCCGAGAAAAAGUCAUUCAUGGCUGAGGUAAAAAUAAUUUCUUCUUCUUUUGAUUUUUUUAUGAAUGAAAGAUUAUAUUGGAAAGAAAAAAACAGGAAACAAGCCAUACUAUACAAAUUAACUGAACUUCCACCAGCAACAAAAUUCACUAAAAAAAGAUUGUUUUGACAUUAUUAAAGAGUAACGGUGACGAAACAUAUAUUCCUCUUAUCUCAAGCCCUUAACAUUUACUUCUAACAUUAUUAAAGAGUAAUGUCAUGAUUUGAAGGAGCCAAAUUAUUCAGCGCGUAGACAUUAAUUUUCCCAAUGAGAAAAUAUUAUUGUCUUAUCAACUUUAAAUAUUGCAUGCAUAUGCAAGUGGUUGAUGUAAAAUAAGUGCUGGAAAUUUGAUACAUGAAGGAUAUGGUCACAGAGUCGUUCUUCCAGCGACCUAGAAAAAUAUUUCCAAAAUCCAUAUACCUGAGAAACUAUCGUAAAAUAUAAGACAUCAAAACAGUACAAAAGAUCCUGAGUAAAAAUUGACAAAAGAUAAUUAAAAGACUGAUUGGAUUGAAAAUUAAAAAAGCAUGGCGAAAAUAAGAAGGUGGAAAAAUACUUUUGAAAUAAUAAAAAAGCAUUAAUGGAAGAGAGGUUUGAUUUAUUCGUUGUGGAAUUUAAGAGUCGGUCUUGACUUGGAAAAUGAAUGAUGAUUCGGAUACAACAUGAACACGCGUGUCUUGACUUUGAAAAUGAAUGGUUAUUACUUGUGAGCACGCAAAACUGUGACUUUUUCGUCCAUUUGCCGAGUCCAAUGAAUUAAAAUAACAAAUGAGUAAAAUGAUCGGAUCCUUAGUUACUAUUUGUUUGCUGGAAAAUAGUAUUUUUUUUUUUUAAAUGAAUUUUAAAAAAGUAUUUUCGAUGUUUGAUAGUGUAAUAAAAAAUAAGUUGGAAAACACUUUCCUGUUUGGUUAUAUCAUUUAAAAUGAGCUGGAAAAUAUCUUAUUAAUAUUUUAUUUUUCUUAAGUUUAUUAAAAUAAUGAGGAACAAAUCUUACAAAUUAAAAAGUUGAAUGGGAAUGAAAUUGAAAAAAUAAUAUAAUUUCAUAAAUUAUCUUAAAUAAAAUAAAUAAUAAUCAAAAUAAUAGAGAUCAAAUCUAAAAAAUUAAAAAAUUAAAAAUGAAAGAUGAAGAAAUUAAAAUAAUAAUAAUCAACAUUUCAUAAAUUAUUUCAAAUAAAAUAAGUAACAAUCAAAAGAAUGAGGACCAAAUUUGAUAGAUAAAAAAUUUCAAUAAAAAAAUGAUAAGGAAAAAGCAAAUAGCAAUUAUAAAAAUAAGGACCAAAGUUAAUAUAAAAAUAAAAUUUUAAGAGAUGAAAUUGAAAAAUAAAUAUUCAAAACAAAAUAUAUAUAGCAAUCAAAAUUUGAUCGAAAGUGUUUUCCUUUGAUCGAAAAGUGUUUUCCGUUGACCCACUUUCCUAAUGACAAACAAACACAGAAAAGUUUGGAAAAUGAUUUUCCGGAAACUACUUUUCGGGAAACAAACAUGGCCUUAGUGUCGCACAUGAAACAUGUUGCGACGGGCAAUCUCUUAGUAUCUAGAAAUCCAAAAAUAAAAAGGAUAAGAAAUUCUUGUUUUUUAUAUGUUUUUCUAAUAUUUUUAAAAAAUUUAGGUAUUUUAAUAUCAAAUUUGUAUCUUUACAGUAUAAAAAUAAAACCAAUAUCAAUCAAAAUUGGUAUAAAAAUAUGAGAGAAAAUCACAAAUUAUUUUAAAGGAUUUUUAGAAUUUUUUGUUUUUAUUUUCAAAUAAUAUUAUAUUAUAUUAUAAUAUUUUGAGAUGCACUCAACCCAAUUAUAUAGGCAGAGAACAUCUUAUCUGAGAUGAGAUUAGCCCAAAAUAAAUUGGGUCAAAGUCGGCCAAAAAGAGUUGGGCCAACACCAGCCUAAAAUAGAGGUUGGGUUGAUGUUGGCCCAACAAAACUUCUUUUCUAUUUAUGGGAUUGGACCGAACUUGACCCAACCAUUUUGGUCUGGAUCAGAACUAGUCCGACCUAGUAAACAAUGAAGAGAUUCUCCAAUGUUCUGCAAGUGAAUAGUAGAGAGUGAAUUGAAGAAUAGUAGAAUAGUAGAGGGUGACUGAAGGAGAAGAAGAAAAAGGAGAAGGAGGAGAGAUUGACCUGGCGGUGGCUUCACGGUGGUGCUAAUGAUGGUGACGAGGAAAGCAGGCGAUAGUGGGGAGAAAAAACAAUGGUUGCUGUUGUGGUUUUUUCUUCUCUGUACAGGGGCAUGAAAUUCCUCUUUCCUUUUUUUUUUAUCUUUUUUUGUUCUCUCUCAUUAUCUUCUCUCGUUCUUGUCUCUCUUGUUCUUUCUUUUUUUCUAUGUUUUUUUGUUUUUAUUUCUCCUUUUUUCUUCCUUUGUUCUCCCCUGUUUCUUUUUGUUUCUCUUCUGUUUUUUGCUCUCUUACCUCCCUUUUUCAUCUCUUUAUCUCUCUGUUUUUGUCUCUCGUCCCCUAGUAUUUAUAAGAGGGAAAGAGAGGAGAGAGAGCUAUUACACAUGUCCAGUCAUGGUGUAGGGGUAUGGUGGUUGGGGCAGUCUGUGCAGCCAUCCCAAAGCCAACCGCAGGGCUUGUCCCCUCUACCUCUUUCAUCAUGUUGAUAGGCCAUGAAGGGGUGUGGGUGGUGUCGUGGUUUUUGGGAAAAGGGGAGGGAGAGAGUGAGAGAUAGACGCUGCAAAUGAAUGGAAGAAAAACCUUCUUCCCCUGCCUUUAUGCGUUUGGGGAAGAAGAAGAUACACAGUGCUGUUUAACACAACACCGUUUUAAGCUUCGCUUUUUUAUGUUUGAACAGUGAAUGAAAUGGGGUCAAUUCAUUUAAAUUAAAAUAGCGCCCAAAAAAUGUUAAUUUUUAAAUCAAUCUUUAAUUAUUUUUUUUUAUCCAAUCAAGUCCUCAAUUGCAAUUUUGAUUUUAAGAAUAAAUUUAAUUUCAUCCCUAUCAAAUUCAAAUGCCAGCCCUAAUGUUGGAUGUCUUUUUCACUUUAGUCCUUAGUUUUGAAUUUAUGCAUUUUGACCCUUAAUUGAUCAACAAACUUUCAAUUUUUUCAAUUUAGCCCCUGAUUUGACCAAAUUAACUCUUAAAAAUUAUAAUUUAACCCCAUACUUUAAUUUUUUUUCCAAUUAAAGUCAAAAUUGACUUAAAAAUGAAUUCUUCUUGCAAUCAAACCCUUUACAAACCCAAUUAAUCUUUCAACAAAAUCUAAUUGAGUCCUUAAACAUCUAAUUUUGGAUUUUUCUUCAUCAAAUUGAAUUUUCUUUUUCAAUAUAGCAUUUAACAAUAAAAAAUAUAUUGUAAAAUUUCAAUCUUUGUAUUUUUGAACUUUCUCAACCAAUCUUUAGCCAUUUUCUGGGCGCCCUUAUAUCUUCUUCUCACUACUAUCUAUAUUUUGGUUUUCUUCUAAUAUAUAUAUUUUUUAUUUUUCUCUCUUUUUAUGUGGGAACCCAAAAAUAAAUAAUAACAAGUAGUUUGUAGUGUAUAUAGAUAAAUGCUAGAGUAAAAUGGAAUUGUUGUAACCCAUUUUUGGGUCCCCAUGAAAAAUAAAAUAAAUAGCCAAAAGAGGUUAGAAAAAUAACAGGAGGCAGAAACGCUCGGAAAAUAGUCAGAAAAUUGGUCAAGGAAUUUAAAAAUACAAGGAUUGAAUUUUUGACAGUAUAUUCUUGGAGGAUGAAAGCCCUAUUGAGAAGGAAAAUUUGAAUUUUGAGGAGAAAAGCCCAAAUUUGGAUUUUAUUGGACUUAAUGGAUUUUUAUGGACUUAAUUGGAUUUUUAUUUGAAUUUAUAGAAGAUUUGAUUGCGAAAAAAAUUGAUUUUUUAAGUCAAUUUGGGCUUUAAUUGGAGAAAUUUAAGUUCUGGGGCCAAAAUAUAUUUUUUAGGAAUUUAUUGGGUCAAAUCAGGGGCUCAAUUGCAUAAAUAUUGAAGUUUAAGGGCCAAUUAGGGACUUAAUUGUGAAAAUCCGAAACCAGGGACCAAUUUGGAGAAGGCGCAAAGAUAGAGGGGGCUGUUUGGAAUUGUUUCAGGGGCUUAAUUGAAGAAAUUGGAAGUUUAUUGAUCAAUUAGGGGCUCAAUUGCAUAAAUCAGAGGCCAAGGACCAAAGUGAAAAAGGCGGCCAACAAGAAGGGCGGGGACCGAAUUUGGAGGACUGAUUUGAAGUUUGGCCAUUUAAAUGAAACGGCGCGUUUUAUUCAAAACGACGCCGUUUCAUAUACAAAAAAAAAAAAAAGGAAAGCAGAACGGUGUCGUUUUGAACGACACUGUUCAUCAUCUCCUUCCCCCCGUUUUAGCAGAACAGAAGACAAAAAUUUUGAAAAAAAACUCCCGCGUCUCUCUCUCUCGCCCCCACCACCACCAGAAAGAACCGACCAGCCAUGCGUGAUUGAAGGCGCACUAACCAUGGUCCCCCACCCGUGCUGCCCCUAUAAAUAAAGAAGAAAAACCGAAGAAAAGAAGGAGGAGAGACCCGAAGAGAGAAGGAGAGAGAACGACCCGAAGAGAGAGAGAAGAACAGAAACAAACCGAGAAGAAGGAAACCGAAACCAAAAAACCAAAACCAAACCGAGAACCGACAGCCACUGAGAAAAAAAAACGAAGGAGAAGGGAGGAAGAAGAAUUUUUCGCCACUGAAACAGCAGCAACGCCGCCCGGAGCCGCCGUCCACGAAGCCACGCCACCGUAGCCCCGCCAGCAAACCACCGUCUCCAGCCUCGCCAGGUAAGCUCUUCCCCCUGCAUUGUUUUUUUUUCUUCUCUUCGUCUUCUGUAAUUUUCGUCUCCUGCAUGCAGAAUUGUUCUGCAUGCAGGGGACGGGGGGGAAAUUAAUUCCCCCCGUAUGUUUUAUCUUCUGGGCCAGACCGGUUCUGGCCCAGAAACAUGUAUUGGGCCAGAAGGAUUCUGGCCCAACCCGGCGGUCUGGGCCGCGUCCGGCCCAGACCAAGUUGUUUUUUUUCCUGGGCCGAGAUCGGCCCAGUCACUGUGGGGCUGAGCCCGGCCCCUUAAUAAUUAAUAUAUAAUUAUAUUAUAAUAUUAUAUAUAUAUAUAUAUAUAUAUGUGUAUAUGUUAUAUAUAUAUAAAAUAUUUGUAAAAAAUCUAAAAAAAUCUAAAAAAAAUAUUGUUAUUUUCCUUUCAUGUAUAUAUAUUUUUAAGGGGGUUUGUAUUUUUUUUUAUAUACUGUGGAGGUAUAAAUUCAGUAUUUAAAAUAUCUGAUUUUCGUCGUAGCACCCGAAAUUUUCCAAAGAUAAUUUUUUUUUUUGCUUUCAAAAAUUUCUAAAAUUCCUAAAAAAUAUUGUGGAUUUUUCCGCAUUUUUUUUUUGACUUAAUAUUAGUUUGUAUUUUUAUUUUGUGGAGAUACAAAUUCAGUAUUAAAAAUACCUGAUUUCGUCAAAAAAAAAAUAUUGUUUUAAAAAAAAAAUAUUUUUCUUUCGUGUUGCAUACGGCCAAUACUCUAACAUGUUUUGAAUAUUCUUUUUUAUAAAACAAAUAUAUUGGAAGCUUCGAAAGUGUGUUUUCGCAUAGAUUUCUUAAACACAAAUUAUUUUCUUGCAUUUCUGGAUUUUACAACGUGUUUGUAAAAUUCCAAAGGGUAUUGGCCAAUAUUCAAAAAACUAUAAAAAUCUUAUUUUGGGAAAAGGAAUUUAUUUAUUAUUUACCGCUAAUGUUUGGAUAAAGAAAUCCUUAAAAGGAUGAAUAUCCAAAAUAUUAUCGGGAAUAAUAAAUCCGCACACAAUUCUUGAAAGAAGCCUUGAUUAUAAUCGAGGACAUUUCAAAAUUAAUUUAAUUUUUUUUUUUCUCCACGAUUUAUGAGUCGCAAACUUUUGAAAUACUAAGGGAAAAAUGAGCUUUCAAAGCACAUGGAAUCUCCUUAGAUUUCUAUCCAAAAUCAAUUGACGAGCCUAGAAAAUACCUACACCAUAGCAGUUAUAGAGCAAACCAAACACCAAGCAGCUUACCUUAGGUAGGGCGUACUAGGGGUGCUAAUACCUUCCCUUUACGCAACCAGUCCCUUGCCUUAGAAUCUCUGAAAGACCAGUUAGGGUUCCUAGUGACCAAAAUACUAGGUGGCGACUCCCAAAGAACCAAAUCAACAAAACAAAACAAAACGAAAGUCGCCAGUCGAAUGUCGCAAAACAAAUUUUAAAAUAAACCAAAUUUUAUUUGUUGAUUUUUUCGGGGGUGCGACAGGAAUGAUGGUAUCUAUCAUGUUAUGAUUUAUUUUCUAUUUUGUUAUCAAGAAUGAUUGAUAGGUUAGGGUGUGGGGGCAAUGCCUCCAUGAUACAGUAAAUGAGUAUUAUUAAAAAAACUAUAAUAUCUCUUAGGCAAUUAAACUUUUAGGCCGCAGUUAGACCCUUGAGCGGUUUAGAAUAUACUAUAAAUACACAUUAUGUAAUCCUAUUUGACAUAUAGUAAAAAUAAAAGCUCAUCACUCAUGCGGAUAUAAAAACAUUAUCAAACCACAUUAAAUCUUGUGUUCUUUCUAGUUUUUCUUCUUUUAUAAUAUUCAUCAAUAAUUGUUGUAGGUUUUUCACAAUAGAGGUCAUGUUUAAAGUAUAAGAAUGUGUGAAGGAACUACCAGUGAACUUUACAAGAACAAAAGGUGUAAUAUUUGAUAUAGAUCCUUCUUUAGCUUGCAUACACAAUUAAUUAGAAUUUGAAACUCUCGAGUCAUAGACAUUAUACUUAAGGAAUAUGCUUUAUAAAGCUAUAUUCAAAGUAUCUAUGUUUUUGAAAUUGAAGAGUUCAGUUUCUAACACUUAAAUCAAGAACAAUUUUUUUUAUAAGUAGAGAGGACUAAAGUAGGGCACUAUAUUCAUUAUCCUUAGCAUAAUUUGUUUUAUUUCUUUCAUUAUAAGAUUUUUUAGAUUUUAAGGAGUUUCGAAUGAGUCCAAUGGGCAAUCUAAUAAAAAUGGGUAUAACUUAUGUUCCGACUAUUGGGUUGAAUUGAAAUUUUCCUUAAAUGAUUAGUAAGACAACUUCAUUUGAAUUCAUGUACAUGCUAAAUUCAGUCUAAAAGUUACAGCUUAAUAUUGUUUUUAUUUUCCUUAUUGUUUUUGGAUUAUUCUUACUAUUUAGAUUAGGAUUUAAAAUUUAAUUAGGAUUUUACUAAUAAGCAUAUAUAAUUUUUUUUGUAUUUAAACUUUCUUGUAGGCUAUUUUUUAGGGAAGAAUUUAUUAUAUAAAGACUUUUAUAAAUAUAUUAAUUUUUUCUCUGCAACCUUUUCUAAGAGUUGUAACAUUAAGUUGUGAGCCCCCCAGUUUCUUUCUCUACAAUUUAAAACUGUCAAAUUUUACGGUUUGAGGAUCCUUAACACUAUACACCAUGUCAAUUGGUAUUAUAGAAGUCUACGGGAGGAGUCAAGUAGUAAAACGCUUUUUUUUAUUUUUAAUAUUCCACAAGAAUAAAAUCAUUAAUUAUGGAUAAUCAAUUAUCUAUAUUAUAAAAUUAUUAAUAUUUGUUAAAUAAUCAUUUCAAUCUAAAAAUAUAAAAAUAGUUUUCUAUUAAUUUUUUAGCAGACUUCUUCAAGUAAAAAUUUACAUAUCUUAUGGAUAUGUAUCUUAUAUUUAAUUUUUAAUUAAAUUAGAGAGAAUAAGGGCUAUCACUAUCUUGCUAAUAAUUUUUAAUCUAAUUAAAAAGAACAAGAGUGAUACAAAAUCUGAUUUGACCCAAAAUGUAAAAUCCAUAUAUAUUUUUUUUAAUUCCAAUGAUAAAAUAGUUCAAUCUAUCUCGCGGACCUCUCUCGUAAGAGGGGAUGUGUAGCCAUAUGUUUUAAAGGUAUGGGGGAAAAAGCAUUUUUUGCGUUUAAUUUCCUCUCCUACUACUCCUAUUUCUAUGCAUAGGCAUUCUGGGAUGCCCCAAACCGAAAUACAAAUCAAAUAUACGUGUUGGGUAUCUGCAAAAUGUUUAAAGAUUCAAUUCCUAAAUAUUUGUAUGCAGAUAUUAAUAACCAACCAUGCAUUGAAGUAUAAACCCUUCAUUAAUAGCAUGACUUCUCAAAAGACUAAAAGUGAAAAAACCCUUAUAAAUACACAAUUAGCUAGCUUUUUUUUUCUUUUAGACAAGUGAAGAAACUUUAUUAAUAGCAUAACAUUGGCAAAUCAAAGCAAGGGGAAGAAUUAAUGGGUACAAAUGCCAAAAAGCAUGGGGAAAGAAAACAUGGCAAUAGCUAGGAAGUAACCUAAACUAACCAGCGAAGGAAGGAGGACACAUAAAUAAUGACCAUGGAUAAAUUAAGCCUUCUUGGCUAAUACAAGGAUAAACGAUUACUGAUCAUUCAUCAUACGAUGGGAGCUGCAGCUGGUUCACCGAUGCGGCACAUACCAUCUAUGGGGUCAUAUAUGCAUGGAGCUGCUGGCCUCGCUAUCACAGUAAGGUUAGAGCAUGAUAGCAAAAUAAUGGUAACGAUUAGGAGUAGUAUUAUUGUCAAGUAUCGAGCCUUUCCUCGAGACCCCAUUCUUGACACGAAAGAAAGCUGAGACUCUUAGGGAAUCAAAUGUAUGUCUUGGUACGUAUGUGUAGAGAGCGAGCUAGUCUGCGAGACGGAGAGGGUUUGCUAGCUAGCUGAUAUAGGGGACACAAUGUGUGGAAUUGGAAAAGGUAUACGUACAGCAUUUAAAUUUGACUUUAGAGUUUCUUAUUAUUUUCUUCAAUAGAGUUAUGAUGACUUGUGGCAUAGGUUAAUUUGAAAUCAACAUUCAAAGGGAGUAAUUGUGGAUCAUGUCUAGCUAGGUUGUUUAAGUAGUCAAAUAAAUCAUAUUUUUAUUAUAUUUUUAUUUUUAAUUUUCUGGUUUGGCCCUGGCUCUUCAGAAACAAACAAUUCGGAAAACUAGAGAAGGUGAAACAUAAUAUAAAUAUGGCAUAUUAAUUUGUCGGUCGAUUGACUUUUUUUUAUUUUGUUAAUUUUAAUUACAAUAUAUUUUUUAAUUUUCUUGAGUUCUUUAUUUCCUUGACUUCUUCUUCCUUUUACUAAUUAAGAAAAAUCAACAACAUCUGGUCAAACAAUCUAAAUUGGUCAACGAAUGAAUUUUAUAAUGGGUUUAUAUAUUGUAUGCUUACAACAAUAAAAAUAUCAUGAGUGAACAUAAUAAUAACAUUAAGACUAUUAUUUAAACUACUUUGAACAACAAAGGUUCAAAGGAACGGAGUCAAUUUUAGAAUGGGCUAGGUUGAUGUUGGCGGCUAGCUAGGGUUUUAGGAAUGAAGAAGAUGAGAUGAUUUUUUUAUCAUUAUCAUUAUCAUUAUUAUCAUUAUUAUUAUUUUUACAGGUUCCCUCUCUCUUUUCAUUUUUUGUAGCAACUACAUGCGGUCGAAAGUCACUGAUAAUUACAUUAAUUACUAGUUAUAACUGAUUUUGAUAGAUAUAACAACAUUUAGAGUAAAAUGUCAUUGCAAAUACAUAUUGUAUUAUAAUGAAAUUUCAAACAUUUACAUUCAUAAUUAAUUAUAUAUUUGCACAUGCAUUUAUUUAAUUUAAAGGCACGUAGUUAUAUUAAUUUUAUAAGUAAUUAUGAUAGGAUUUUGUUGAUAGUGGAUCUAAAAGCAUUUGUCUCAUGUGCUGUUAAAUCUUAAUAACAUUUGAAACAAAAGAUCACUUAAUUUAUAUCCAAUAUCAGUCAAUAUAUACUACAAUAAAAUAAAUGUUCCUAUAAAUAACAAUCAUAAAAUACCAUUAUAAAGUAUAGUUAGUAUGUAUUUCAAACAAAUGAAAUUAAAAGUAAACAUAGUAAAAGCAUGUAAUCAUCACCAAACCAUGAAAACUAUAUGUAUAUAUAAACAAAACAAGAAAGUUUCGUUCUGUUUUCCCUCAUUUAUACUUCAUUAUUUAUUAUCCACGGUUUUGAUUAUUAACAAACAAUCAAAACCCAUCAAAUCAAACUUUAUUGUAAACAAAAUUAAACCCAUUUCUUUUAGCAAAGUCUAAUUCAAAAAAGUUUGGUUCUUUUACCCCUCAUUUAUACUCUAAGAAGAUUUAAAAAAAAUUAUCACUAAGAUAGUGUGUGGUUACUAUUCUAUAACAAAAGAAAUAAAAAAAACAAUGAGAACAUAAACAUUUUUUAUUGAAAAGAUAUAGAUAAAAGACAUAAUAAUAAAUUUAUCUCUAAAAAAUUUUAAACUUAAUUUUUAUAUUUUCAAAAUAAAAUGUAUAUAGAAAACAUGUUUUUAUAGAUAAUAUUUAUUAUUUUUAUCUUUAAAAUAUUCAUGUAAAAAAAAAUAAUUUCAAAAUUAUCCAAAGCAUAUAAAGAUAAAAGUGAUUUUUAUUAUAGUUUUAAAAUCUGAUUUGACACUCGACUUGAAACAAGACCAGAUCUUGGAUCGCGAGGGUCAAACUAAGUUAUUCUAACUAUUUUUAAAGGAUCAAAACAAUUUGAUCAUUUUGACCAAAAAAGUUUUUGUUUGAAAAAAAAGUCAAUAUGUUUUUAGCCAAAAAAUUUUAUAUAUUUAGGUGGACUUGGGUUUUUUAUCAUAUUAGAUCAGAUUAAUCAUUCCUCUAUUUUUUUAAAAACCUAAACUGGUCUCAACCUCGAGUUAGCCCGCCAGGUCAAUCCAAAUUUUAUAACUAGAGUCAUUAUACCAUUAUUAAUUUCAACACUUAAUAUAAAUUACAAUAAAAAAAUAUAAUUAUGUAUUUAAAUAUAUAAGUUUGAUAAUAAUAUAUGUUAAGAGUAAAAUACUUUUUUUCAUAUAUUAUUUUAUCUCAUUCAUUCACCAUGAAUCAAAUAUUAUACAAAAAUAUUUUAUAUUUCAUUACCAAAUAUAAUUUUAUCUUCAUCUUUUCUGUUCUAUCUUCUCUUUUUUAUUAUCUCAAUAUUCUUGCGUUCCAUGACAAUAUCUAUCAAUGAUAAUGAUAAAGAGAGAAUAAGAGGAGGACUUGAGGCACCAUUUGUUUCUACAACCCAGUUGUGUUUUUUUUAAAACAAAUUAAAAACAAUUCUUGAAAUGUUUUUUUAUAUUUUUAAAAUAUUAAUGUCAAAACUAAAAUUUAAAAAAUAAUAAUAUUAUUUUAAUAUAUUUUUAAAUAAAAAAAAACUUUGAAAAUCAAACAAUUUUCGUAAUACCAAACAUUAGCUCCGUAAGAGAAUUGUCCAUGGGGAUUUCAUUGAUUUUCAUUGUAUCACAAUCUCCCUUGGCCACAUGUACGCACGCCAGAGGCUAACCUCUUUUGGAGAUUGAGUAACUUGAGUUACGCCCGUUCUAUUUAUUUUUACAUUUUGAAAAUAUUUUAAAAAAAAAUUAAAAUUUUUUAUUUUUUUAAUUUAAAUUAUUAUUUUUUAUAUAUUUUAAUAUAAUAAUAUCAAAAAUAAUUUUUAAAAAAUAAAAAAUAUUAUUUUAAUAUAUUUUUAAAUAAAAAUUAUUUUAAAAAACAACACCAACCAAAACAUACAUGUGCUCUGUCUUCGCAGCUGCUUCGGCUAAUAGCAAAGAAGUGAAAGGACGUCGGAGGGAGCUGAUGUAAGAAAUGGAUUUUAUUUUCAAUAGGCCUUAUGGUUUCAGCGUUUGGACUUUGGUGAUUUUUCAUGGGCCUCCAUUGACUAAAUUUGGGCUCUUCUCCAAUUAGACCAAUGGUUUGAAUAACUGAAUCUAGAACUAGCAGGCCUUGGGCCUUGGCCACCAUAAUUUGUUGCACCAAGCAUGUCCCCUCAUUAUAUCAUCAUCUUUUCUAUUAAUAUUUUAAAAAAAAAAUUAUUAAGUAUUAAAUAAGUUAUUCAUAUCUUAAUUUAUACAUUUAAAAAAAUAUAUAACAUUUUUUUUUUCAUAUUUGAUCUCGAAAUGAUAGUAUGAUAAGCAAUCCAUUAAACUAUCUUAUUAUAUUAAGUUAGUGUGUUUUUGAAAGUUUUAAAAUACACUUGAGGAUAAAUAUGCAAUGCAAUAUAUUAUGUCCUUGUCAUGGAUUGAAUCGCUCCAUCUUCUCUAUGUAGUGUGUGUAUAUAUUUAUAAUUGUGUGUGUAAUUCAUUCGCAUGAAUUAUAUAAAAAGGAUAGAAAAUCAUAUUGCGUUUUGCAUCAAUUACAAAUUUAAAAUUAUUUAAUUAGUUAAUAUUUACAUGAAUUCUAUUGAAAUCUUAGAUUAAAAAAAAAACUGCAAUUUAUUUAUUAUUCUUAAAUCUAUUUUUCUAAACUACAACUAGGAUGGAAAGGAGGAAGCUAGCUCAAGCAUAACUUCAAUUUGUCAUCACCCACAACACCCAAAAAAUCUGGACACGAAUAAAAAUCUUUUGUGACGACUUGACCACCUUAGCAGCUUUCUGAAAACCUAUGAGGCACUGAUUAAAGAUAAGAAGCAGCACUACUCUUGUUAAUUAUUAAUUAUACUCUUCCAGACAUCCUUGUCAAUGUCAUGCUAGUCAUCGUCUUGCUCCUUAAUUUCCUUUCUGGCUGACACGUGACUUGUAGACCAACGACUGUGUGAAAGCCAACUGUCUUUAAAUCAUUGGCUAAAUUUCUUCUGCAAAGGAGGAAGUCUGCUAAUUAAGGACAGGCACUUAAAUUGAUGCCACGUAUAAUUCAUCAAAAAUCUAUUCCAUGUAUACAUAUCAUCGCUGUGCUUUGCUUCCCAUAUCUCACCAUUGAAGACUGUACUAAGCAUUCCAAGCUUUUCUUGUUGAUAUCAUCAUUCAUGGAUAACAGCGGAAUAAAUGAAAUGAUGUAGAAAGAAUAAAUAAAAAAUGAAUGGCGUACUGUAUUAUACAAUUUCACUUUCAACACCACAUUAUAGUUUUCUACUUCAUGACAUAACGAUCCUAUACGAUGAGUUUGCGUUGUGAAAUGUCCAUUUGACAAACACGAGAUCAGGCGUGCGCGUGCGCGUGCGUGUGUUGUAGCAUGAGAUGUUUUUGGAUGGGUUUUCACACAUAGCAAGGUUUAUCAAUUUCAUUUCAUUCCGUUUGAAAUUGUCAAAAACAUGUUAUAUUAAUUUUAAAAAAAAAAUGAAAUAAUUUUUAUUUCAUUUUAAAUUUCAGUCCGUUUCAGAUUUUUCGAUUAAAUUUCAGCCUAAAUAUUCCUGUUUCAUUUCACAUGUUCAGUUCCAGACUCAAAAAGUCAUUGAAUCAAAUUGAACACAGUUCAAUUUAAUUAAUUAAACCACCCAAGUAUAAAAGGUUCUUUUUAAAAUAAUAUUGAAAAUUAUUAGUAUUAUUUUAAUUAACAAUGAUAUUAAUUUUUUAAAAUUAAAUUUAUCACUAAUAUAUAUGGUUUAUUUUCAUAUUGUUUUUUUCAUGUCUAUACUUUGUAGGAAUUUGAACAAAACAAGAAAUGUUUUAGAUUUCAUUAGCUUUGAUAAUAUUGACCUAGUUUUAUAUUUAAAAUAUUCGUGUUAAAAUAUUUUACUUUCAUAAUAUUUUGAUAUUUUAUUUAAGUUGAAUUACUGUAAGUUAAAGAUCUAUUUAAUCAUGACUAUUUAGAAAAUAUUUUAAAUUUUAAAAUUAUAUUUAUUUGAUAUUAUGUUUGUAUUAUAUAAUUUAUAAUUAAUUUAUCUUAAAUUUGAAUUAUAUUUGUUGAAUUAUAUAUAUAUAUAUAAACAAAACAACUCUGAAACUAAAAUAUUCUAAAAUUAAAAUAUUUUAUUUUAAUUAAAAAAAUAAAACAUCUAUUAAAAUAGAAUUGAUAACCUUGACACAUAGUGACCGGAUUUUCCAUGAUCCUUUAAUAAUUUCUUUAUUUCUCUAUAUAUAUUUAUUUCAAGCCACCCGAAGUGGGGAAGUCCACUUCCAUAUUCAAUAAAUUAAAGGAUAUUUUGAUGCUCCCAAGAAGAUUCCUGCUAUCCUAUUUCUCCUUGUACAAGACAAAGAGGGAUCUAUUCAUGAGGACAAUUGCUUGAAUCUUCAACCACAUGAAAGUCCAAACUUUACGAAUUAAUCCUAUUUCUAUCAAUAUAUUUAAGAAGAAUCAAAUCAAUAAUUAAAAGAAUAAUAUAUAGUUUUUUAAUACAUGAAAUCGAUACAAAGAGUGUAUCGAUUUCAAGAUCCAAUAAAUAAAGAUCAAAUCAAUAAUUAAUUCCUUCUUCUCUUUAAAUCUUCCACGCAUGUUACAUCCAAGUCAAUUUUUUUAUUUGUGUUAUCAUUUUUUUCCACAACAGCCUGGACAAUUAAUGGACCUACACAAAUGUUUUAUUUUCCAAAUAUCAAACGAAGACUCGAAUUUAUUCAGCAACUAACCAGCCCUGAUCACUCCUAUUCGAUCUUUAACUUGAAACUAAAUUCCUUCUCUUAAUUAGAUGAGUUUAAGUUGGAUAUUAAAAUCCUUGAUUUGUUAGUAUUUUUCUUCAAAUACAAAAAUAUUGUUAUAUAUUAUUCAGAACUUUUUUUUUAUAAACAAUAUUAAAGAUACAUCCCCCAUCUGAUCAAUAUGAUAUAUUUAUCUUAAAUUUUGAACUCGAAAAAAUCACUAAAUGAAGCAUAAAAUGAGUAUAAUUAUAGGGGGUUUGGAUUUGUCAAUAUUGUGCAAGAAUCCUAGCUAGCAGAUAUUAUUGAAAUUAAUUAAGUUGGGCACCUCAAUUUGCAAUCUGUAGGCUGUGAAGUCCGGAUUGCCGGCGGGACCAUCUCAUCUUCUUUCCCGCAUCCACAUGCUCUUAUCUCAUUCAAAAUCUGUGGAUAUAACAAGUCAAAAGAUACAUUUUAUUAAGAUCAUGCUUAGCCUACCCUUGGAUUGUCCAUCUCUCUCUCUCUCUCUCUUUGUUAUUUAGUAAUAUUAUCAAUAUUUUUUCUUGAUACUAAUUAAAACAUAGUUUUUAGCUAAAUAUGAAAGAAACCAAGAAAAAAAAAAGUUCAAAGGGUUUACGUUUCACUUUUAACUGCUCAUCUCCAUUUGGUCUGAUUGAUCUAACUCAAGAUUUAUGUCUAUAGAAAUUAAUUAAAAUAACAGUUUUUAAAAAUAUUUUUUUAAUUUAAAAAUAUAUAAUUUUUUUAAAGUAGAACCAGGUAUGCUUCGGAGCAUAGUUUUGAAAUCUGGCCCAAUAAGUUAACCCGGGAUUCAGCCAAUCCAGAACUGAAACCGGACCGAGUUGAAAAAAAAACAGAGAAAGGCAAAACUUGAUAUGACCUAGCAAGACCUGUUAAUUUUUGUUUUUUAUUUUUUUAUUUUUUUACUAAAAUAAUUUUAUUUUAAUUUUUUUAAAAAAAAAUUAACCUAACUGACCGAAACCUAAAACUCAAGUUUUAAACUAGCCAAGUCAAGAAGACUUGAACCGGAACAAGUUUAAAUAUACUGCUUUGACAAGUUGACUUCCUACCCACCGUGAAACAAGUUUAAGAAGUAAUGUCUUUAAUUGUCACAACUCUUUCUCACAGUCAUCAUCUCCCAUUGCUUUCCCACUUCUUUAGCAACGCGUCUAUAUCUCUUCCUUCACGCCUUUGAUGUGUACAGCAAUAAUCACCACCACCUUAUUUAACACUCUCCCAACUUUCUUAGCCUCCAUAAAGAAUCUUUCUUUUUUCAAGAACACAAAAUGGACCGUAAUGGAAGAGAUGACAUCAAGGUCGAGAAUGGUUAUGAUUUGGAGGAUGAUCAUGAUCACAAAAAGAAGGACAGGAAAGAGGAACAACAAGAAGAGUUGUCAGUGGAAAGAAUAUUUGAGAACCAAGAAGUGCCAUCAUGGAGGAAUCAGCUGACACUGAGGGCCUUUGUGGUGAGCUUCGUGUUGAGCAUUUUGUUCAGCGUCAUAGUAAUGAAGCUCAAUCUUACAACUGGUAUCAUACCUUCCCUCAAUGUCUCUGCUGGCCUUCUGGGCUUCUUUUUUAUCAAGACCUGGACAAAGUUUCUUGAAAAGUCUGGCCUUUUGAAGCAACCCUUUACGAGGCAAGAGAACACAGUUAUCCAGACUUGUGUGGUUGCAUCCUCUGGCAUUGCCUUUAGUGGUAUACUUUCUGUACUUCUUACUGCCAUCAAUUUUCAUUUCAUCUCUCUUACUUUUUGGGUUGAGGAGAUAUGUAGGCUUCUUUGAUCAAGAUAUUAAAAUUUCUGUGCAUUAGGUUUUGUUUCUGUUCUUAAAGGUUUGAAACUUACAGUAGUUACUAAAACUCAAUGUCAAGAUUUGCUUCUUCUAAUUGCUAUAUUACAUGAUAAAGGCAACCCUUUUUCUCUCUCUGGAUCCCUUUUAUCUCAGUUGUGAGUAGAUUUACAUGAUCCUUGAAGACAAGAAUUAAUUCCUUACUGCCUAAAGUCUUCGGGAGGCAAAUCAAGAUUGAGGUUUUAUGACUAUCAGUUCUGCUAUUGCUUCAGCCACUUGUGAAGUUUUACUAAACUAAUCAACACUUGAACUUGCUGUUUGAGACAUGAACAAAUAUACUUUAGUAAAAAAGUUUAAUCAAAUGGUCUGUAAAUUUUCUUUACUAGCUUUUCCCUGUCUCAUGGUGUGUGAUAAUGGUGGAGGGGCUUUUUAUUUUUCUUAUGGUCCUCCACGAGGCAUUAGGUGUGGCUGGCAGAUGUCUCUAGACAGAUACUUUUUUGACAAUUCAAUUCAUAUGAGCUGGAUAUGGAUGAUUCGCUAACUUCAAAGUUAUACAAGUCUUAUAAGAAUAUUCUGAUUAGUGGAAAAGGAAGUCUUCCCCAUUAGGGAGAAAAGAAAAUAUGAAUAAUUAAUUUGUUUGUACUGUUAAUCUAGCUUUCAUCAUGUAAAAUUAAUUUGAAUACACUACAUCAUGUGAAAUUGUUGUAACGAUAGAAAUAAUUUGUGAUUAUGCUCAAGAUGAAAUUAAGCUUGUUGAUUUUUUGUAGUAAUAGUUUCCAUUCUAUAAUCUGUUUCUUGUUUCCUUACAAUAGGAGGCUUUGGGAGCUAUCUGUUUGGAAUGAGUGAAACCGUGGCCAUACAAUCAACAGAAUAUAGAGAUGUCUUUAAGAACCCAUCUCUGUCAUGGAUGAUUGGCUUUCUGUUUGUUGUUAGCUUUCUUGGACUCUUUUCAGUGGUGCCUCUUCGAAAGGUAGACUUCACAACAUUUGAUUAUCGCCAUUCAAUUUCGUAUAGGAAAUAGAAAACUUCUCUCUGCAUUUUGCUUUCUUGUUGAAUGUAUUGAUUUUGCCAAAAUCUAAUCUUCAUUGUUAUUUCCAGGUCAUGAUUGUAGACUUCAAAUUGACAUAUCCAAGUGGCACUGCAACUGCUUAUCUCAUCAACAGCUUCCACACUCCUGCAGGAGCCAAGCUAGCAAGGUAAGGCAUUAUCAGACCUCAUGCACAUAUAGUUGGAUGAUCAUUCGGCAUGUAAAAGUAUCAAACUUCUUCUUUUUUUACUACCGUUUCAGAAAACAAGUGAAAGCGUUGGGCAAGUUCUUAUCAUUCAGCUUCUUGUGGGGUUUCUUUCAGUGGUUCUACACUGCAGGAGAUGGUUGUGGAUUUGUUGAGUUCCCCUCACUCGGGCUUAAAGCAUAUGAAAACAAGUAAAAGCAUUACUCAAACUUCCAAAAUCCUCUCAUCCUAUUGAAUGUAGUUCAAUUUAUUAUGGCACUGUGUUUCAAAUUUGUUGCGGUAUCCUUGACUAAUAAUGUUAUUGUUAUAUGUACAGAUUUUUCUUUGAUUUCUCAGCAACAUAUGUUGGAGUUGGAAUGAUUUGCCCCUACAUCAUAAACAUAUCAGUUUUGCUUGGAGGAAUUCUUUCCUGGGGUCUCAUGUGGCCUCUCAUAGAUACAAAAAAGGGUGAUUGGUAUUCAGCAGACCUCAAAUCUAACAGCCUACAUGGCCUCCAAGGUUACAGGGUAAGUUUUCUAACAAGGUUAAGGUGACAAGAGUGCUAUUCUUGAAGCCUUUUCAUUCAUAACAACUCUUAUGCAAUGAACUCAGGUAUUUAUUGCCAUUGCCCUGAUCUUGGGUGACGGUCUGUACAACUUCUUCAAGGUGCUAAGCCGAACACUCACUGCCUUGUAUUUUCAACUUCAAAGGAAAGAUGCAACUGGUGCCCUCCCUAUUGCGGACCGUUCCUCUCCUGAGAACUCCAGGAUCUCAUACAAUGAUCAACGCCGCACCCAACUCUUUCUCAAAGAUCAAAUUCCAACAUGGUUUGCUGUUGCAGGCUAUGUCGCAAUUGCUGCUAUCUCUAUAGCCACGCUACCGCAUAUAUUUCCUGAACUCAAAUGGUAUUACAUAUUGGUUAUCUACAUCUUCGCCCCAGCCCUUGCAUUCUGUAAUGCUUAUGGCUGUGGCCUCACUGACUGGUCCCUCGCUUCCACCUAUGGAAAGCUUGCAAUUUUUGUAAUUGGAGCAUGGGCUGGUGCCUCUCAUGGUGGAGUUCUUGCAGGACUAGCGGCCUGUGGAGUCAUGAUGAAUAUCGUGUCCACAGCCUCCGACCUCUCUCAAGAUUUCAAGACUGGUUAUCUAACCCUUUCUUCACCACGGUCCAUGUUUGUUAGCCAACUAAUUGGCACUGCAAUGGGUUGCAUUAUUUCACCUUGUGUCUUUUGGCUGUUUUUCAAGGCCUUCAAGGAUCUUGGGAUUCCUGGAAGUCAAUACCCUGCUCCUAAUGCUACUGUAUUUCGAAACAUGGCUAUAUUGGGGGUAGACGGAUUCUCGUCUCUACCAAAGAAUUGCCUCUAUCUUUGCUAUGGGUUCUUCAGUGCAGCUAUUCUGAUAAAUUUAAUUAAGGAUGCAUUGGGUAAGAAAUGGGCUAGGUUCAUUCCCAAUCCAAUGGCGAUGGCUAUACCUUUCUAUAUUGGCUCAUACUUUGCCAUCGACAUGUGUGUGGGAAGCUUGAUGCUGUUUAUCUGGGAAAAGAUUGACAAGGCAAAGGCAGAUGCUUUUGGGCCAGCAGUGGCUUCUGGUUUGAUUUGCGGGGAUGGGAUAUGGACUUUGCCUAGUGCGAUACUUGCUCUAGUAGGAGUAAAACCUCCCAUUUGCAUGAAGUUUUUGUCAAGGAGAACAAAUGCUAAGGUCGAUGCGUUCUUAGGGUCAUAAAGUCGAAGUUGAGAUCAACUUGAAUAGAAACUGUUAAGUAAAGCUGAAUUGCUUCCUAGACUAAGGUUAUGAAGUUUACAU
RNAcentral lists this long non-coding RNA (30802 nucleotides) under Populus tremula. RNAcentral describes it as "long non-coding RNA (PTRE_LNC001288)". The record is from RNAcentral. Lineage: Eukaryota; Viridiplantae; Streptophyta; Magnoliopsida; Malpighiales; Salicaceae.